GUGGGGAAUAUUGGACAAUGGGCGCAAGCCUGAUCCAGCCAUGCCGCGUGGGUGAAGAAGGCCCUAGGGUUGUAAACCCCUUUCAGCGGGGAAGAUAAUGACGGUACCCGCAGAAGAAGCCCCGGCUAACUCCGUGCCAGCAGCCGCGGUAAUACGGAGGGGGCUAGCGUUGUUCGGAAUUACUGGGCGUAAAGCGCGCGUAGGCGGACCUGCAAGUCGGGGGUGAAAGCCCGAGGCUUAACCUCGGAACUGCCUUCGAUACUGCGGGUCUCGAGUCCGGGAGAGGUGAGUGGAAUUCCUAGUGUAGAGGUGAAAUUCGUAGAUAUUAGGAAGAACACCAGUGGCGAAGGCGGCUCACUGGCCCGGUACUGACGCUGAGGCGCGAAAGCGUGGGGAGCAAACAGGAUUAGAAACCCUUGUAGUCC
RNAcentral lists this ribosomal RNA (425 nucleotides) under uncultured bacterium. RNAcentral's name for it is "bacterial SSU rRNA". It matches the Rfam family "Bacterial small subunit ribosomal RNA", at positions 354 to 796 of the family's 1533-position model. The record is from RNAcentral.